GCCGAAGUGGCGGAACUGGUAGACGCGCACGUUUGAGGGGCGUGUGGCGCAAGCCGUGCCGGUUCGAGUCCGGCCUUCGGCACCA
RNAcentral lists this transfer RNA (85 nucleotides) under Thermoanaerobaculum aquaticum. RNAcentral describes it as "tRNA-Leu". It matches the Rfam family "tRNA". Rfam says of the family: Transfer RNA (tRNA) molecules are approximately 80 nucleotides in length. Their secondary structure includes four short double-helical elements and three loops (D, anti-codon, and T loops). RNAcentral also lists the same sequence under 4 other names. Lineage: Bacteria; Pseudomonadati; Acidobacteriota; Thermoanaerobaculia; Thermoanaerobaculales; Thermoanaerobaculaceae. The record is from RNAcentral.